RNAcentral lists this non-coding RNA (129 nucleotides) under Paraburkholderia phenazinium. RNAcentral's name for it is "Burkholderia phenazinium Burkholderia sRNA 39". It matches the Rfam family "Burkholderia sRNA 39". From Rfam's summary of the family: Trans-encoded, exhibits differential expression profiles dependent on growth phase and cell stimuli, such as antbiotics and serum. May function in bacterial metabolism and adaptation to the host. Shown to be expressed in biotin. The record is from Rfam by way of RNAcentral. Lineage: Bacteria; Pseudomonadati; Pseudomonadota; Betaproteobacteria; Burkholderiales; Burkholderiaceae.
GUAUUGUGGGGACCACCUCCUCGAGAGGUGUUGGGCAUUAGCCAGCAACGACGGCUUGCACGCGAGAUCUAGACCCCUUCGUGCAGAUAACCAAGCCAGCCGUCGCAGCAAGCCAGGCCAUUUUUUUGG